RNAcentral lists this ribosomal RNA (485 nucleotides) under uncultured bacterium. Its description in RNAcentral is "partial 16S ribosomal RNA". It matches the Rfam family "Bacterial small subunit ribosomal RNA", at positions 899 to 1397 of the family's 1533-position model. The record is from RNAcentral.
ACUCAAAGGAAUUGACGGGGGCCCGCACAAGCAGCGGAGCGUGUGGUUUAAUUCGACGCGACGCGCAGCACCUUACCAGGGCUUGACAUGGGACUGCGGAGCCGCGCAAGCGGUUGGCCUUCGAGGGGGUCCCACAGAUGCUGCAUGGCUGUCGUCAGCUCGUGCCGUGAGGUGUUGGGUUAAGUCCCGCAACGAGCGCAACCCUCGUCGCCAGUUGAACCGAUCUGGCGAGACUGCCGGCCGCAAGCCGGAGGAAGGUGAGGAUGACGUCAAGUCAGCAUGGCUCUGACGCCCUGGGCGACACACACGCUACAAUGGCGCCGACAGAGGGCGUUGCCAACCCGCGAGGGGGAGCGAAUCCCAGAAACGGCGUCCCAGUUCGGAUCGUGGGCUGCAACUCGCCCGCGUGAAGCCGGAGUUGCUAGUAACCGCGGGUCAGCACUACCGCGGUGAAUACGUUCCCGGGCCUUGUACACACCGCCCGU